Long non-coding RNA from Chelonus insularis, 1281 nucleotides. RefSeq lists it as uncharacterized. The record is from RefSeq and is a predicted model, not a curated record. The transcript is spliced from 3 exons. NCBI's taxonomy places the organism in Eukaryota, Metazoa, Arthropoda, Insecta, Hymenoptera, Braconidae.
UCUCCCAUUGGUGGUUGGCGCUAUAUUGUAUGCGCAGAAAGGUGAACAAAUGCAAGGGUUCUGCGCAAGCACAGCUGAUGCAAUAUUUUUUUGUUUUUUAACAAAUGUUACUCCAAUAUAAUCAACUAUCCAACUGUAUAUUUUAAUUAUUUAUUAUUCAAAAAAAAAAAAAAACACGCACAUCAUAUCUAAUGUCAUAAAGAAUAAAAUCUCCAUCAAUGACACUUGUUAUAAUUGGUAAACAAUGGGUAAGAGCGUAAUUACAUUAAAUAAAAGUUUUAUAAUGAAAUUAAUAAAUAACAAAGAGAUUUGAAGGACUGUAGGGGCGUAAUGACCUUGUGAUGAACAUCAAGAUUUCACCCACAAUAAAAAUAUAUUUACUAUCGAUGACGACAUAUUUUAAAAAAUCUAUAUUUAAAAAAAAAAUUUCACAAAUAUGAUCAAAGCAAUUAUUGUCGGGUACAAAAGAUAAUAAAUUAAUAUUUUUCCAAGGUAAAUUUAUAUCAUUAUAAUAUUGACCACAAUUUUUAACAAUUAAUUCCAGUCAUAAGAAAUGUAUUUCUUCAGAAGAAAGUUCGACCUUGAAAUACAUGAAAAAUGUACCUGCAUUUUAUUGUGUAAGAAAAAUAAAUGUUCAAAAAAAUUUAUAGCCUUGCAAUUAUGUAUAUUAUUGCGAAGCAAAUUUAAGAAUUCUAUGAAUUGAAUUUUUGGCAUCAAAGUUAUAGACAUUGUAGUAUAAGUAACAUAGAAAUUAUACUACACUCAAAGGCGUCGAAAGCAAGCCGAUUAAAUGUAUGAUGAAAGGAUUUCAUUAUGUUUCUUUGUUUGAUAAAAUCAGCUUAAAAUAGCUCCUUGUUUUGAUCUUACUCGACAUAAUAAAUGAGUCAUAGUAAACAAAUUUAAAUAGAUCUACUAAUCCUUCAAUACAUGAAAGUAUUUGCUAUUGUUUACAUUAAUGGAACCAUUAGUAUCUCGAUUAUUGACAUUUUUAACGAAUAGAAAAGAGGGGGUAAGUCUUUGUUACGAAACACAAACACUUGCUGAUAAUCUGGGUUAAUAAUUAAAAUACACCAAAAUUCGUACAUUAAUCUGGUGAAAUAAUUGAUGAAGAAAAAAAUAGAGGAAUUAAAUUAAUUAAUUAAAUUAAUUACGUUGUAUUUACGAUGAUACGGUUGAUAAAUAUCAAGCGGUUUAAAUAGCCGUAAGAAGUUUGUUUUGCAAAAGUUGUUUAGAACACAAUGAUUUUGAUGGUUAUUUAUAAUUUACUCACCCGGAUGCGUC